UACAGAGGAGCCAAGCGUUGUCCGGAUUGACUGGGCGUAAAGCGCACGCAGGCGGUCGGGCGCGUGGGGUGUGAAAUCUGGCCGCUUAACGGCCAGGCGCCAUCCCAUACGGCACGACUGGAGUGAUGCAGAGGUCGAUGGAAUUGCCGGUGUAGUGGUGAAAUGCGUAGAGAUCGGCAGGAACACCCAGGGGGGAAACCAGUCGACUGGGCAUCUACUGACGCUGAGGUGCGAGAGCGUGGGGAGCGAACCGG
Molecule: ribosomal RNA, 254 nt
Filed under: uncultured bacterium
Lineage: Bacteria
Description: partial 16S ribosomal RNA
Rfam family: Bacterial small subunit ribosomal RNA
Source: RNAcentral